RNAcentral lists this ribosomal RNA (383 nucleotides) under uncultured bacterium. RNAcentral describes it as "partial 16S ribosomal RNA". It matches the Rfam family "Bacterial small subunit ribosomal RNA", at positions 992 to 1381 of the family's 1533-position model. The record is from RNAcentral.
UGCAGCUAUAGAGUAUAGUGGAGGUUAUCAGGGUGACAGGUGGUGCAUGGUUGUCGACAGUUCGUGUCGUGAGAUGUAUGGUUAAGUCCCAUAACGAGCGCAACCCUCAUCCUUAUUUACUAACAUUAAGUUGAGCACUAUAAGGAAACUGCAGUCGUAAGAUUGAGGAAGGUGGGGAUGACGUCAAAUCAUCAUGCCCCUUAUAUCCAGGGCUACACACGUGCUACAAUGGUAGAGACAAAGGGAAGCUAACCCGAGAGGGGGUGCAAAUCUCAUCAAACUCUACCUCAGUUUGGAUUAAAGUCUGCAAUUCGACUUUAUGAAACCGGAAUCGCUAGUAAUCGCAAAUCAGCAUUGUUGCGGUGAAUACGUUCCCGGGCCUG